This is a non-coding RNA of Macaca mulatta (Rhesus monkey), 943 nucleotides long. The record is from RefSeq and is a predicted model, not a curated record. NCBI's taxonomy places the organism in Eukaryota, Metazoa, Chordata, Mammalia, Primates, Cercopithecidae.
UGUCUGAGGAGCCUAAACAAACACCCGGGAGAACAGAGGUUAGCUCCCAGGGCUGUCUACCUUCCUGCUCUAAUCUUCACAAUGGUGCCAUUCUUCACCUUUCCUUUCUCUCUUGAACAAUCACUGGCUUAAAUUGUACCUAUUCCAGCAAGACAGGUUUGCAGGUUUCAUAAGCCUUCAUGACAGUCAAACCAACUCCCUCCUAACAUCUGAGAGAUGCAGAAGGUAUUGCCCACAGUAUGGGCUCCUUUAGACAUUUGGAAAACCUUGGCUUUCAGCUCCCUGUCAUGAAUGAACCAAGGAUCAAAAUGCAUCAGCAAGGUGUUUAUGGCAUGGGAGAGACAGAGAGAAACAAUCACACCAUCAAUGGAUGAGAUGACAUCAUGAUUCUCACCAUAUUCCUGAUGCCACACAUGAUACCUGACAAAUGGAUGCUUCUCAAAAGAUGGACCAGUUCACUGCCUUGAUUCCUACCCACCUGCUGGCUGAUCUGACUAUUCCAGGAGCAGCGAGUUUGAAGUCCUCUUUUGUGUUCAUCUUAUUCCCACUUUUAAGUCUUUUGCAAGCAUGUGCUUCAUGUCUGAAAUUUCCUUUCAUUCUUUCUCUUUUCCCAAGUAAUCUAUAAAAAUUAUUAAAAUAAUGAAGGUUAAUAUUUUCUGUAAUACAUUUGAAGAGAUUAUUUAUGUAAAACAUAUUCUCACUGUAUUAGCUAUCUAUUGCUACACAACAAAUUUGUGAAGAGAGGUAUGUUUUCUUGUUUGUGAUGAAAGAUAGGAGAUAUAAAUGUAUAUUUGUCUGCUGCUGACAAAGACAUACUGGAAACAAAACUGGUAAUAUAGGAGAGAGAGAGUGAAGAGUUCUGGAGCUAUGUCCUUCAAAGACUGGAUCUGCUGCACAAGAGGAGACAUCUUUUAAGUAGGAGCAUGGGUAGUUCACCUAUAAU